GGAUAAUCAGGGUGGUGAGCCCUAAGCUUAAUGAUUUAUGCUAAGAGUUUCACAAAUACAGCAUUGUGUGUGGACAAUAAGCAGAUAUGUGACCAACGCAUCGAUGCAUCAACCAACACCAUGAAAUAUCUAAAUGGUCGGCAUGUUGGUUGGAUAAGUCCACAAAUAUCCUUUUGAAUCCUCUGAAAAAACUUAGAGGGGUCGUGAAUAAUCUUUGUAAUUGAGGG
This 227-nucleotide long non-coding RNA is filed under the name Malus domestica (apple). RNAcentral describes it as "long non-coding RNA (MDOM_LNC012320)". Lineage: Eukaryota; Viridiplantae; Streptophyta; Magnoliopsida; Rosales; Rosaceae. The record is from RNAcentral.